Capsicum annuum is the source of this 1066-nucleotide long non-coding RNA. RefSeq lists it as uncharacterized. NCBI's taxonomy places the organism in Eukaryota, Viridiplantae, Streptophyta, Magnoliopsida, Solanales, Solanaceae. The transcript has 2 exons. The record is from RefSeq and is a predicted model, not a curated record.
CCAAAUAACCCCAACCCUGGCCUAAGUUUCCUCUCCUUUCAGUUUUUACCCGAUAAUACAACACCAGUGAACAACGUACAACUUUAACAUCAACAGCCGACAACAGCCAAAACCACCAGCCACGAGCGAUGACAAUAACAAACAACGACUUCAAUCCAACCGACCUAGAAACCCGGGGACCCAACACCAAAACCCGUCAACCCGGCGUACAACUUGCGAAUUCAGAUUGUCCAACAAUGUCUCAUCCGCCAACGUUCAAAAUUUCAAUUUGUACGAAAUUGUACGAUUCCAGCUCAUACCCUUGUCUUUCAAGAAGAUUCCUCAUUAAAAUCCCAAAAUUGCCCCCCGAUUUUUCAAUCCCACAUCGUUAAUCAUUCAAGAUUUGAGAUUGUUGGAUUUCUAUAUAAACCUAUUUAAUCCACUGUUCAAAGCGAGUUUUUUUUCGAAACCAAAUAAGGCUGAAAAUUCUUUCUCUCGGCUAGGGCUUCGGACCUCAGUUCCCAGCCUGGAGUUGUGAGAAUUUUGGCUCAGUCUUUUUUAAUCUUCUUGUUGUUUUGGAAUCGAAGAACGUGGUGAAGUCGUCGUAGAUUCGCCGUCUCGGUUGGCUGCUCCGGAAAAGUGGGACCGUCCUUCCCCACAUUUCUACGAUGGGUCAAGGAGGCCCCAAAUCUCGUGUUCAAGCCUCAAAGUCAUCUAAACGGAACUGCUAUACAUAGGUAUACAGUAGUAAACGAAGGCAAGGAAUGAAGAUAUCAGUUUUAUCCACUGAUAUACAACGUAUAUACAGAAAAACGCUGCAAAUGAAGGCUGGUAUACAUGAAGAUACAACUGAUAUACAGCUGGUAUACAUCUGCAAAGUGGCUAAAAAGGUCUAUUAAAAUAGGCCCAAAAAUGUUAACAACGAAUACAACGCCAAUCAAUCUCCAUUUCUGAUCUAAUCUUAAAACUUCAUUAAGCUUGAAAGAGUAAAGGAAGAGUAAAGGUAGAGAGAGAAAAAAUGUUUCUUAUUAUGAAAAAAUGAUAACCGUUUCUAAACUGUCCAGUACUAUAUGCUAGAUAUUUCCUU